RNAcentral lists this ribosomal RNA (2515 nucleotides) under human gut metagenome. RNAcentral's name for it is "bacterial LSU rRNA". It matches the Rfam family "Bacterial large subunit ribosomal RNA", at positions 14 to 2619 of the family's 2925-position model. The record is from RNAcentral.
AGGGCGUAUGGGGAAUGCCUAGGCACACUCCGGCGAAGAAGGACGCAGCAAACAGCGAAAUGCGACGGUGAGCGGUAAGCACGUGAAGAGCCGUCGAUAUCCGAAUGGGGGAACCCACAUGGAGUCAAGUCCAUGUAUCACAUGUCGAAUACAUAGACAUGAUGAGGCGAGACGCAGGGAACUGAAACAUCUAAGUACCUGCAGGAAGAGAAAAUAAGAAUGAUUUUCUGAGUAGCGGCGAGCGAAAGGGAAAGAGCCCAAACCGAUUUUAGGAUCGGGGUAGUAGGAUCAUCGAAGAAUCUGACAGAGGAUCAUAGAGGAAUCACAUGGGAAGGUGAGCGAGAGAGGGUGAGAGCCCCGUACUCGAAAUGAGAGACUGGAGAGAGAUGACACCUGAGUAGGGCGGGACACGAGAAAUCCUGUCUGAAUCGGCCGGGACCAUCCGGCAAGGCUAAAUACGAGAGAGUGACCGAUAGUGAACCAGUACCGUGAGGGAAAGGUGAAAAGAACCCCGGGAGGGGAGUGAAAGAGAACCUGAAACCUUGUGCUUACAAGCACCGAGAGCCCGUCAAGGGGUGAUCGGGUACCUUUUGUAGAAUGGUCCGGCGAGUGAAUGUAACUGGCAAGGUUAAGCACUUAAGGUGUGAAGCCGUAGCGAGAGCGAGUCUGAAAAGGGCGCAUGAAGUCAGUUGUAUUCGACCCGAAACCGGGUGACCUACCCAUGUCCAGGCUGAAGUGCAGGUAAAACUUCAUGGAGGGCCGAACCGACUCCCGUUGAAAUGGUAGCGGAUGAGGUGUGGGUAGCGGAGAAAUUCCAAUCGAACCCGGAGAUAGCUGGUUCUCUCCGAAAUAGCUUUAGGGCUAGCCUUGGAAUAGAUUACUGGAGGUAAAGCACUGAAUUGGCUAGGGGCCGAGAGGUUACUGAACCUUAUCAAACUAAGAAUGCCAGAUAAUCGUUUUCCAGGAGUCAGACAGUGGGAGAUAAGUUUCAUUGUCAAAAGGGAAACAGCCCAGACCUACAGCUAAGGUCCCAAAGUAUAGUUAAGUGGAAAAGGAUGUGGAAUUGCAUAGACAACCAGGAUGUUGGCUUAGAAGCAGCCACUCAUUAAAAGAGUGCGUAAUAGCUCACUGGUCGAGUGACCCUGCGCCGAAAAUUUAACGGGGCUAAAUCGUACACCGAAGCUUGGGAUGCAGCAAUGCAUGGUAGGAGAGCGUCGUAUAAGGGGUGAAGUCAGAGCGUAAGCGCUGGUGGACUUUAUACGAGUGAGAAUGCCGGAAUGAGUAGCGAGAAAUAUGUGAGAAUCAUAUUGGCCGAAAGUCUAAGGUUUUUGGAGGAAGGUUCGUCCGCUCCAAGUAAGCCGGGAGCUAAGGUGAGGCCGAAAGGCGUAGCCGAUGCACAUACGGUAGAUAUUCCGUAGCCGCCAAAAGAUUUAAGUAAGAGGACACCUUGAAAGGACUUGACCCGGGCGAUGGUUGCCCCGGGCGAAAGGGACCGAAAUUUAGUAGGGAAGCAAGUUUGGACGAGGGCGAGAAAAGUCUUAUGUAUAUCUUCGGCGCCCGUACCGCAAACCGACACAGGUAGAUAGGAAGAGAAUUCUAAGGCCAACGGGAGAAGGGUAGUUAAGGAACUCGGCAAAUUGGUCCCGUAACUUAGGGAAAAGGGACGCCAGGGAAACCUGGUCGCAGUGAAUAGGCCCAGGCGACUGUUUAGCAAAAACACAGGUCUCUGCCAAAUCGAAAGAUGAAGUAUAGGGGCUGACACCUGCCCGGUGCCGGAAGGUUAAGAGGAGGAGUGCAAGCUCCGAAUUGAAGCCCCGGUAAACGGCGGCCGUAACUAUAACGGUCCUAAGGUAGCGAAAUUCCUUGUCGGGUAAGUUCCGACCCGCACGAAUGGCGUAACGACUUGUGAGCUGUCUCAACAGGAGGCCCGGUGAAAUUGAAGUAUGUGUGAAGAUGCACAUUACCCGCGACUGGACGGAAAGACCCCGUAGAGCUUUACUGUAACCUGACAUUGGAUCUUGAUAACGGAUGCACAGGAUAGGUGGGACGCUGGGAGACGAGGACUUUGGUUUUCGUGGAGCGGCCGUUGGGAUACCACUCUUCUGUUAUUGAGAUUCUAACCUCAAGCCGUGAGCCGGAUGAGAGACAGUGUCAGGCGGACAGUUUGACUGGGGCGGUCGCCUCCGAAAGAGUAACGGAGGCGCCCAAAGGUACCCUCAGAAUGGAUGGAAACCAUUCGAAGAGAGCAAAGUCAGAAGGGUGCUUGACUGCGAGACCAACAAGUCGAGCAGGUACGAAAGUAGGGCUUAGUGAUCCGGCGGUAAGAGAGUGGAAUUGCCGUCGCUCAACGGAUAAAAGCUACCUCGGGGAUAACAGGCUGAUCUCCCCCAAGAGUUCACAUCGACGGGGAGGUUUGGCACCUCGAUGUCGGCUCAUCGCAUCCUGGAGCUGAAGUCGGUUCCAAGGGUUGGGCUGUUCGCCCAUUAAAGCGGUACGCGAGCUGGGUUCAGAACGU